Molecule: ribosomal RNA, 899 nt
Filed under: uncultured bacterium
Lineage: Bacteria
Description: bacterial SSU rRNA
Rfam family: Bacterial small subunit ribosomal RNA
Source: RNAcentral
GCUGGAAUUCACCCUUAGAGUUUGAUCCUGGCUCAGGAUGAACGCUGGCGGCGUGCCUAACACAUGCAAGUCGAGCGAUUCUCUUCGGAGAAGAGCGGCGGACGGGUGAGUAACGCGUGGGUAACCUGCCCUGUACACACGGAUAACAUACCGAAAGGUAUGCUAAUACGAGAUAACAUAAGAAAUUCGCAUGUUUUUCUUAUCAAAGCUCCGGCGGUACAGGAUGGACCCGCGUCUGAUUAGCUAGUUGGUGAGGUAACGGCUCACCAAGGCGACGAUCAGUAGCCGACCUGAGAGGGUGAUCGGCCACAUUGGAACUGAGACACGGUCCAAACUCCUACGGGAGGCAGCAGUGGGGAAUAUUGCACAAUGGGCGAAAGCCUGAUGCAGCAACGCCGCGUGAGCGAUGAAGGCCUUCGGGUCGUAAAGCUCUGUCCUCAAGGAAGAUAAUGACGGUACUUGAGGAGGAAGCCCCGGCUAACUACGUGCCAGCAGCCGCGGUAAUACGUAGGGGGCUAGCGUUAUCCGGAUUUACUGGGCGUAAAGGGUGCGUAGGCGGUCUUUUAAGUCAGGAGUGAAAGGCUACGGCUCAACCGUAGUAAGCUCUUGAAACUGGAGGACUUGAGUGCAGGAGAGGAGAGUGGAAUCCCUAGUGUAGCGGUGAAAUGCGUAGAUAUUAGGAGGAACACCAGUAGCGAAGGCGGCUCUCUGGACUGUAACUGACGCUGAGGCACGAAAGCGUGGGGAGCAAACAGGAUUAGAUACCCUGGUAGUCCACGCCGUAAACGAUGAGUACUAGGUGUCGGGGGUUACCCCCCUCGGUGCCGCAGCUAACGCAUUAAGUACUCCGCCUGGGGAGUACGCUCGCAAGAGUGAAACUCAAAGGAAUUGACGGAAGG